CAGCCCUGAGCCUGCCCCUUCACAUCCCCCGCUGCUGGGUCUGUUUAGGGACUCCUCUGUCCCCCGUCCUCUCAGCAGGCAGGGAACUUCUGAGGGACAGGUCUUCGUUUGCUUUUUCUGUUUUCUCACCAAUUACAUAGGGCUGAGACCCAGGACUCAGGCUUGGGCUGGGGGUUUAUAGAGUCAAUUGACAAGUUGGACAGAGGCCUGGCAGGGCCAGCCCCACCUGGGGGUGGGCAAAGCAGGUCACCAGAGCCUUCUUUCCUGCCCACAGGACAGCCACUCACUGGUGGGAGCAACCGGGUGUGGAGGCCCGCACCCUGCUCAAGCUCUAUGGAAUCCGCUUUGACAUCCUCGUCACCGGGCAGGUAGGCACAGGCAGGGAAGUUCGGGCUCAUCCCCACGGCCGUCACACUGGGCACCGGGGCAGCUUGGCUGGGCGUGGUCACCUUUUUCUGUGACCUGCUACUGCUGUAUGUGGAUAGAGAAGCCCAUUUCUACUGGAGGACAAAGUAUGAGGAGGCCAAGGCCCCGAAAGCAACCACCAACUCUGUGUGGAGGGAGCUGGCCCUUGCAUCCCAAGCCCGACUGGCCGAGUGCCUCAGACAGAGCUCAGCACCUGCACCCAUGGCCACUGCUGCUGGGAGUCAGACACAGACACCAGGAUGGCCCUGUCCAAGUUCUGACACCCACUUGCCAACCCAUUCCGGAAGCCUGUAGCCGUUCCCUGCUGGUUGAGAGUUGGGGGCUGGGAAGGGCGGGGCCCUGCCUGGGGAUCUCAAGGAUGAGGCCCCAGCAUGGAGGAUUGGGGGUAGAAUUCCACCCUUGAACCCCAGCAGACAGUCCCUCCCCUGACUCCCACCUUGGUAGGGUGCUGCCUCAGGGAGCCAUAGAAGUCGGCUGUGUUUUGAGACGGCGACAGAACCUGACCCGUGGAGACUGGGAGAGCCCAGCAGGCACCUGUAUUGCAGGGCUCCGACUGCAUGUGGCAGGGGCUCCUGCUGCGUCUGGGCCUGGAGGUCUCUCUCCCAGUGCUCUGUCCCCAGUGUUCCUAGCAGAGGUAUGCUUACCAGCUGUCAGCACAGACCCUCCUGCUGCCUGGGUCCUGGCCCUCCUCCCCCAUCUGCACCCCCAUCAUAGGUAGAGACCCCACCCUCCCAUCGGUCCUACAUGGGGCUGUGCAGCUGGAGCCAAAAAGGCAAGGUAGAAAGAGAAGUGAUGGGGGAGGGGGAUUGUUUCAGCUUCUCUGGUGCUGUGAUGCCCCAGGAGAGUCCUAAUCUAGGGAAUGGGGUGGAGUAGGCAGAUAAUCCACCUCCCUAUCCCCCAGGCAAGGGCGGAGCAUGUGUCUUGGGCCCACACCUGCUCAGUUUAUGAGGACCGGCUGCUUUCCAGUGGUAGCCCUUUUGCCAUGGAGGUCUGGGAGAGAGCAGAGGGCGGCAGGGCUAAGUUGGUGAUCAUUGGGUUCUUCAGGACCUUCUAUAUCCCUCCUCGGUGACCCCCCAGCCCAACCCCUUGGAAUCUUUCCUCCAGGCUUCCUGAGAGCCCUGGGGGUGGGAGGCUGUGGGAGGCUGUACAUCUGAAAUUCACUUCAGUCCAAGUCAUACCUAGGAAGCUGUCUGGGCAGCUGCUCAAGGGAGGCCCUGGCUCUGAUCCCAGGCUGGAUGGAGUGGCUGGAAGGAAUGGUUCCAAACAACACCACCGAGAUCUCCCUCAGGCUGGCCAGGUUUUGCAGCUGGAAUUCUCCUCUUGGUCCCAGGGUGGGGCAGGGAAUUCUAAGUGUCCACCCCAGGGAGGCAAGGGGCUGCUUUCCACUGUGGGUACCUGGUGAUCAGGGCAAGCUGUGGAGGGCCAGGGGUGGGGCUGAGACUGGGCUGACAUCUAGAAUCACCUGCCACCUGGAGCCUCAGUAAAAUGCCUGGGGUCCCUGCUGCCUCUCAAUCUCCAGAGCCAUGUCCAUGGGGAGGUGGGCUCUGAAGGGCAAAGGUGGGAGAGCAUGGCCCCUGAGGCCUGGGUAUCCAAGGAGGGGCACGUGCACCUGAUUCUCCUUGGGGCCCAGAGGAAGCUGAUGUCAUGGCUGGACAAAGUCACGGAGUAAAGCCAGCAAAG
RNAcentral lists this long non-coding RNA (2106 nucleotides) under Pan troglodytes (chimpanzee). RNAcentral describes it as "long non-coding RNA NONPTRT009540". The record is from RNAcentral. Lineage: Eukaryota; Metazoa; Chordata; Mammalia; Primates; Hominidae.